GAAAACUCUAAACAUAAUACUCAUAAUAAAAUACUCAUUUUCAGAAACCCAUUUUCAACUCUUUCACGGAUGCAAUGGCAAUGGUGAUUUAGCGACUGAACAUAUAUGUAAGAGGAUUCAUCUAAGUUUAAUUUUGGGUUCCUUUCACUCGCUCACUCUCAUUUCGGUAAGGGUUUCUGUGGGUUUCUUCGCUCCCUCUCAUUUCGGUAAGGGUUUCUGUGGGUUGUCUUCUUUGCUUCAGCCUCAGCUUCUCUCUUCGUCUCUCCUGUUUCUCUUGUUCGUCGUUCAUCCCUUCAUUUCCUCUUGCGUUGGCCUUCUGGAUUUGUUGAACAGACAUGAAUCCAGAAAUUUCCAAUUCCUAUGCUAAUUUUGCUAAGCAGCUUAAAAGCUAUUCUUGGCUUCUUCACAAAGUUUCUGGUGAUGGUGAUAAUAAAGUGGCAUACGGAUUAGGUUCAGGAUUUGCUGUGAGGAUUGAUGAGGACACACGUACUAAGAACCAGCUUCAGCCAAAUGACUUGAUCAUCUUGACAUGUGACCAUGUGUUACCGGCUGAUGAUGAAAUAGUCAGAGUCCGCAACUUUAACCACAAAACUAGUUUCAACGCAAGGAUACUGCGUAGGAAUCGUUCCUGGGACAUAGCUUUAUUGGUGCUACAAAAUGCAGCAGAUAAGUUUGCUAGUGCUGAAUUUGUUGAAGACGGAAACAUAUUACUUUCUCAGCCAUUAUUCCAUGUCGGUAACCCAGGAAGGUUUUUAUGGUCGUUCUUCAUUGGAUGUGCUGGGAAUAAGUGCACGAAUGAUGCUGUUGCUCCUUCUCGUCGUAGUAGAAAAAAAUGUUUUUUCCACAAACCUGACUUGAAUGAAACGGCAAGUCAUCUAAAAUUAGGAGACUUUGUUAAUAAGAAGUUUUUUGCAAGACCAAAUUUGAUUGGAGAAAAUAUUAAGGAGAAAAUGAAAAACUUAAACCCGAGUGUUCCUGUGAUACAGUGUUGCGGCAUGGGUACUGCCGAGGGAUGUUCUGGAGGGCCUGUUUUCAACAAUGAAGGGAAGAUUGUUGGAAUGAUGGGUUUCAAUUUGGUUGAGUUUGAUAUUGUUAGCCAUGUAAGCAUGUUGAAGGCAUACGUCUAUGACCCUUUAUGUUAAGUAGUUCUGCUUUUCAAUCAUUAGAUUUCUCCUCAAUUGUAUUAGAUGGUUGAAAUUAGCAUGCAUAUGGCAAGAAGCACAUCGGAACAGAUUUUAGCUUCAUUGUUCAUUCUACUAUUAUUCGGUUUAUUCUCUUAUUUUGUUAUAACAGUUUGACUUCAACUAAUUAUGUAAUGUUCUGUUUGAUAUUUUAGAUAUAAUUAUCUUAGUCACUUAAGGAUUAUAGAGAGCUAAUUGUGAUUGUGGUUGUUAGCCUUUUUGCGUGAAAUCACAUUAAUGGACUGACAGACUCGAAUAGUAACCAUGCCCAAUAUUUUGGAUCUCAAAAUAUUAAAGAGAACGGUCACAUUGAACAAACCAUGUAAAAUCUAUACACAUUCUUCUUCAUUAUGCUAUGAUUCUGUUUAUUCUCUUGUAAGUUUGACUUCGACUCCUAAUUCUAUAAUGUUGUAUUAUUAUAUAACUGUCAGAGUCAUUUAUGGAUUAUAGGUAGCGGAAGUGUGAUUUUGCUUGGUUCUUGAGUUAAUCCCCUUAACUGUGAUUGUUAGUCAUUUAGGAUUAUUGUUAGUCCACUUUUAUAUGAAUGUAUCUAAAUAUAAAACACUGUACAUUCGGCACACUUUUAGAAAAAAUCAAUUUUGUCACCAAAAAACCAAACUAACACUUAAUGAUCUUCAACAUAUCAUUGAACCUUCCCUUUUGACCUUCCUGUAAGUGUAGGAAAUAUCUUUCAGGAGAGGUUUAGCUUAUAUAAUGGCAAUAAUGAAAAGGGUUUUUCUCGCGAAAAUAUUGAGUCUAUAUGCAGUGUUGAACGAUCAACUAUAAAAGCCAAUAAGAACCUCGGUUACAUUGGCGAAAAAGUGAACUGUUUAUGCACUGAGGCUCCUGGCUUGAACUGCUUUGCUGGAAUGCGCGCUUCAAUGGAGGUUACAAGCUUCUCAUAGCUUGCACUCUCAUACUCCUUAAAUACACCCUCGAGAUUAAGCUCGUUAUAAAAGAUCUUCACGUCGGCAACAUUUGCUGGAUCAAGCUUCCCAUAGUUCUCAUAUGUAAGACUUUCUUUUGUUCUUCAAUGGAAAGUUCCAAUGUUUUUACAACUAACCAAGAGCACUUAAAGUCUUCAUAUCUGGUUUCGUAUAUAACUAAAAUGAGAUCAUUCAGUAUCUAUGGCAUGAUCCAGAAUCUGCUUACCUUUCCAAUUGUUUCAGGAUCACCAAAGCAAUCCAAAUAAUCAACCAUUAAAACCUUCAACACAUGCCAAUCAGGCCAUUCAAAGGCAUAUAAGUUUUAUUACAUAUUGCUAAACAAUGCAAGUUCUUGUGCGACGAAAUCUCGAUCUAAGAACCACCGGAUAUUAAAGCCUCUAACAUGCCUCCGUAUUUCGAAAUUGGACUGGCCUAUUCAAUUGAAACUUUCCAAAAUCACCAUCCACUCGCUUACUACCACGGUAAUCACCUCACCAUUUCUAUCUCAAAACUACCUUCGAAGACUCUUCCUCGAUCGCACAUGAGUUCCUUUGAGUGCCAUUAGAUUUAUUAACUUAAUUCAUGAUAGAAAUAAACCGUAUUGCGCAAGAUGGACGACAGCCUAAAUUCUUUAUUCCUUGAGACUUCAACAUUGAUUGAGUCACCAACAGCUCAACCUUGUUGUUUUGUGGACUGAUCAUUCUCGGAACGAAACUGCAGAAGUUACAUCUACCACUGCCUAUCUUGACUUGAGACAGAAGCAAUAAAAUACUGAAAAGUGUCAUGAGCCUGUAAGCUCUAAUUAUUCUCAGCGAACCAAUGCUCUCCAUAACUGAUACUCUAGGGAUCAGUUUCAUGAUUAUAACUUCAAAGGCUGCAUUGUCAGUUAGCAAUCUGUCCUUAGCUUGCUGAAUAGAAUAAUAUGUUGCAGCUAUAUGCUUUAUUUCCAAUAUAUGCUUUAGUUCCAAAACUUAGUGCAUGAGUAAUAGAUUCAUUCCUUGUGAUUCCUUUUAAUUUAUUCAUUUUUUCAUUAUUGUCGGUGCAAUGUGUCGAUGUCGGUGUUGUGUUUCCAGUUUCUUUCAUAAAACAUUUAUAUUUGAAAUGUUACCUUGACUAAGGGGUAAGGGUUCUUCCAUCUUCAAGAGUCUUAUUUCCUAGUGAAGAAGUUUGCUAAAGAUAUGAUAGUCUUCUUCUGCGCUCUACCUCCAAAUAAAUAGAAUAUAAGGGAUCCCAUUUGAAGAGAAGGAAAAAUGGGAGCUUGUCCUUUGGAAGUCUAUUGUUCAAUGCAUGUCCGUAACGGGUCUGCUGCGAUAAUUUCCUGAACGAAUCUGCUGCGUGCUUAAGCUGUCCCCCAAGAUUUUAUUUUAUUGGACACAUCUGAUGCUGUUGCAGUUAAUGAGUAUAUGAAGGAAAAGCUGGUACGACAUAUAAUGGUACUUACAGAGCAACCUCAACUCGUAAAGGCUUUAUUUCUCCUAGACGUUUUGGUGGAAUUGCUCAUAAAUCGGCUGCAGAGAGUCAGUGUGCUAAUACCGUGUUCUGAUUAUCAAUUCUCUGUGGGAUUUUCCCGGUUAUAUAGCAGAAGUUGCUGUUCAUGUCGAGAGUUAGAGGGGCAUAGUUUUGUUAGUGUGGCAUCCUUGGGAGCAACCAGUGACAUGGAUGCGUUUGUUUUGAAGUGGCUGCAUCUCGGUGUUGGCGUUGGAUUUAUCGCGGAGUUGCUUUUCAGUUAAGGUCUUUUGUGCAUGUGGUGGAUUCGAGCUUGGUUCUUUGGCGGUUCUUAUCAAACUUUAGAUCCUCAAAUUCCAAUGAAAAAUUGUAUCCUUAGAUCCUCUAGUAUUGCACAUAUCUGUAGGCCAAUUCCUUCCAAUUGUCACAAUUAUCAAGUUGCAAAUUUACUAAACAUUCACUAAGAUACUCCGAAUACGGCCGACACUUCAACAUCAUUAAGAAAUUUGAGAAAAAAAUGAGUAAGUUGAGCAUAGUCACAUGCGUAGAGGAAUUUAAAUCACCCCGAUACUCUAUUUAGCGUCAAAAGUUCUUAACAGUAGCUAGCAUAACAGACUUCAAACAAACUACCAUAUAUAAACAUACUUUACCUUAAUACUGUUAUAAUGCAAUUUCUAUCCAUUAUAGCAUACAACAGUUAAAUUUGAUACCAAAUAUCAUAUUGCUUAAAGAUAAGUGGAGAAUACAAUCUGAAAAUUAAAUCUGUUCGAGCUGGCUGCAUAUGCAACAUGAACUGAUCAGCCUGUGUUAUAGUCUUUAAGGAUUAGAGUUUCAUAAGGCCUCUUAAAGAACACCUAAAAAAACACCUGAAGAAUGUCAUCAGUUGUAUUCUACUGAAUCAAGUUGAGGGGUAUAUCAAUGCUUCAAUUUAUCCUAAUAAAUAUUACGACUAUUGCCUGUAAAUUGGAUAAUACUCGACUGUUAUGAACUAUUUCUGGAGAAGCUCAACAAAAUCACCAGGAUAAUUUACAUUUCACAAUCUCAUAUAUAGUAGAACUAGACUGAAGAAUUAACAUGAUUACAUAGAAGACAAGGAGAUAUUUAACUAGAAGACUCGACUUGUACAGAGAACUGUUUAUGCACUGAGGCUCCUGACUUGAACUGCUUUGCUGGAAUGCGCUUCAAUGGAGGUUACAAGCUUCUCACAGCUUGCACUCUCAUACUCCUUGAAUACACCCUCGAGAUUAAGCUCGUUAUAAAAGAUCUUCACUUUGGCGACAUUACAGGAUCAUUCAGUAUCUAUGGCAUGAUCUAGAAUCUGCUUACCUUUCCAAUUGUUUCGGGAUCACCAAAGCAAUCCAAAUAAUCAGGCCAUUCAAAGGCAUAUAAGUUUUAUUACAUAUUGCUAAACAAUGCAAGUUCUUGUGCGACGAAAUCUCGAUAAAAGAACCACCGGAUAUUAAAGCCUUUAACAUGCGU
This is an RNA transcript of Vicia villosa (hairy vetch), 5032 nucleotides long. RefSeq lists it as uncharacterized. The transcript is spliced from 6 exons. The record is from RefSeq and is a predicted model, not a curated record. Lineage: Eukaryota; Viridiplantae; Streptophyta; Magnoliopsida; Fabales; Fabaceae.